RNAcentral lists this ribosomal RNA (460 nucleotides) under uncultured bacterium. RNAcentral's name for it is "partial 16S ribosomal RNA". It matches the Rfam family "Bacterial small subunit ribosomal RNA", at positions 338 to 795 of the family's 1533-position model. The record is from RNAcentral.
CCUACGGGAGGCAGCAGUGAGGAAUAUUGGUAAAUGGACGAGAGUCUGAACCAGCCAAGUAGCGUGAAGGCUAACUGCCCUAUGGGUUGUAAACUUCUUUUAUAUGGGAAUAAAAUGUUCCACGUGUGGGAUUUUGUAUGUACCAUAUGAAUAAGGAUCGGCUAACUCCGUGCCAGCAGCCGCGGUAAUACGGAGGAUCCGAGCGUUAUCCGGAUUUAUUGGGUUUAAAGGGAGCGUAGGUGGAUUGUUAAGUCAGUUGUGAAAGUUUGCGGCUCAACCGUAACAUUGCAGUUGAAACUGGCAGUCUUGAGUACAGUAGAGGUGGGCGGAAUUCGUGGUGUAGCGGUGAAAUGCUUAGAUAUCACGAAGAACUCCGAUUGCGAAGGCAGUUCACUGGACUGCAACUGACACUGAGGCUCGAAAGUGUGGGUAUCAAACAGGAUUAGAUACCCUAGUAGUC